Molecule: ribosomal RNA, 465 nt
Filed under: uncultured bacterium
Lineage: Bacteria
Description: partial 16S ribosomal RNA
Rfam family: Bacterial small subunit ribosomal RNA
Source: RNAcentral
GACGAACGCUGGCGGCGUGCUUAACACAUGCAAGUCGUACGGUAAGGCCCUUUCGGGGGUACACAAGUGGCGAACGGGUGAGUAACACGUGAGUAACCUGCCCACAACUUUGGGAUAACGCUAGGAAACUGGUGCUAAUACUGGAUAUGUGCCCCUGCUGCAUGGUGGGGGUUGGAAAGCUCCGGCGGUUGUGGAUGGACUCGCGGCCUAUCAGCUUGUUGGUGGGGUAGUGGCCUACCAAGGCGGCGACGGGUAGCCGGCCUGAGAGGGUGACCGGCCACAUUGGGACUGAGAUACGGCCCAGACUCCUACGGGAGGCAGCAGUGGGGAAUAUUGCACAAUGGGCGCAAGCCCGAUGCAGCAACGCCGCGUGCGGGAUGACGGCCUUCGGGUUGUAAACCGCUUUCAGCAGGGACGAAGCUUUUUGUGACGGUACCUGCAGAAGAAGCACCGGCUAACUACGUG